RNAcentral lists this unclassified non-coding RNA (3850 nucleotides) under Rhagoletis pomonella (apple maggot). RNAcentral describes it as "formin-like protein, transcript variant X2". Lineage: Eukaryota; Metazoa; Arthropoda; Insecta; Diptera; Tephritidae. The record is from RNAcentral.
GCUUCAAUGGAUUUACCUCCGGACAAAGCGAAAUUACUUAAGAACUACGAUGAUGAAAAGAAAUGGGACAUAAUAUGUGAUCAGGAAAUGGUACAAGCAAAGGAUCCACCCGCUCAUUAUUUAAACAAACUGCGCACAUAUUUGGACCCAAAAGCCUCUCGAAGUCAUCGGCUAUUCUUCCUCUACUUUCUUUGUCAGAAACGUAAAAUGGUCGGGGAGUCCACGUCGACGCAGGUGCUGCGUGAUCUCGAGAUCUCGCUGCGCACCAAUCACAUUGAAUGGGUUAAGGAGUUUCUCGACGACACGAACCAGGGUCUGGACGCUCUUGUGGAUUACCUAAGUUUUCGCCUGCAGAUGAUGCGCCACGAACAGCGGGUUGAAGAAGCGCUAUCUGACUCAGAUGAGCGCCUGAAUAUGACAAGCAGCCAGACAGUGGGCGGAGGCAACGGUUCAGGCUCCGCCGAUGGGCUGGGUAGUUCAUCGGUGGGAGUAAGUUCUCCUCUCAGUGGUAGCAUUAAUUUAGAUGGUGCCCGGCACCACCCAUAUUCUCACUCGGGCCACUCUGGCGGUAGUUUAAAUGGUUUUUUACGUCCCUCGCUGGCCGAGGUACUUGACAGUCCCAGCAUUAAACGACGAUCCAGACAUAUAGCCAAAUUGAAUAUGGGUGCAUCCACUGAUGACAUACACGUGUGCAUCAUGUGCUUGCGGGCCAUAAUGAACAACAAAUACGGCUUCAAUAUGGUCAUCCAACACCGAGAAGCUAUCAAUUGCAUAGCGUUAAGUCUGAUACACAAGUCGCUGCGUACGAAAGCUUUGGUGCUAGAGCUGUUGGCUGCCAUUUGUUUGGUGAAGGGGGGUCACGAGAUAAUAUUGUCCUCGUUCGACAACUUUAAGGAUGUGUGCCAGGAGAAGCGUCGAUUUCAAACACUAAUGGAAUACUUCAUGAACUUUGAGGCCUUCAACAUUGACUUUAUGGUAGCGUGUAUGCAGUUCAUGAACAUUGUAGUUCACUCCGUUGAGGACAUGAACUAUCGCGUGCAUCUGCAAUACGAAUUCACGGCUCUCGGACUGGACAAAUAUCUGGAGAAGCUACGCAUGACUGAAUCGGAGGAGCUAAAAGUGCAGAUAUCCGCUUAUUUAGACAAUGUGUUCGACGUGGCGGGCCUAAUGGAAGAUUCUGAGACGAAGACUGCAGCUUUAGAACGAGUGCAGGAGCUGGAGGACCAAUUAGAGAGGGAGGUGGAUCGCAACUCAGAAUUCAUGUAUAAGCUCGCCGAACUCGAAACUGAGGUGGCGGUGCUGAAAGCAGAGCGUGAGGACUUAUUGACCACUAAACUGAAGUUUGACGAAGAGGUCACGACAUUGCGGCGCAUACUGAAGCAGAACGAACAGGAGCUUAAGAAGCGUGAAUCGCUGCUACAAAGCAAGAAUCUCGAGUUACAAACAUUGACGCGGUCGUUACCGCGCUCGGGUUCGAAUAGUGAAACGUCUCUACAAAAUGGCGGAACCUCUCCGGACAAGUGCGUUUCUCCUCCACUGCCUCCCCCGCCGCCUCCACUUCCAUCUGCUAUGUCGCCUGCCAGCGCGGCGCCUCCGCCACCACCUCCGCCCGCACCGCCCGCGCCACCACCACCGCCUCUUGCGCCUGGCGGUUCCUUAAGCAAUGGUGGUCCGCUUUCGCCAACAAUGUCCGCAAAUGGUGGUUCGGUAGGUUCUCGCUCACCACCAUAUGGUUCUGGUCCCAACGGAGGGCCUAUGAUGUGUGCGUUCCAACCGCCCCCUCCACCUGUGGCCGGUUUCAUGCCCGCUCCAGACGGUGCCAUGACAAUCAAGCGCAAAGUACCGACGAAAUAUAAACUGCCCACGCUUAACUGGAUAGCUUUAAAGCCAAAUCAGGUUCGUGAUACUAUUUUCAACGAAUUGGACGAUGAAAAGAUAUUCAAACACAUUGAUUUCAUUGAAUUUGAGGAGCGGUUUAAAAUUGGUAUCGGCGGCGGCUUGACAAAUGGCAACAACUCAGAAGUGGACGGCCUCCACUCCUAUCCUAGCAAACGCUUCAAGAAGCCAGACAAUGUAUCGCUUUUGGAGCACACGAGAUUACGAAAUAUUGCAAUAUCUCGUCGUAAAUUGGAUAUGCCUAUCGAUGAGGUUAUUGCUGCCAUACAUAGCUUAGAUUUGAAGAAACUUUCUCUGGAAAAUGUGGAGUUAUUGCAAAAAAUGGUGCCCACGGAUGUAGAGGUGAAAUCCUACAAGGAAUACAUUGCCGAGCGUAAAGAUCAAAACCAACUCACCGAAGAGGAUAAAUUCAUGUUGCAAUUGUCCCGUGUGGAGCGCAUUUCAUCUAAGCUCUCUAUUAUGAAUUAUAUGGGCAAUUUCUUCGACUGUCUGCACUUGAUCAGUCCACAAAUACUAGCCAUCACAACCGCUUCCAAUUCCCUGAAAAAAUCCCAAAAGUUUAAAGCCGUUCUAGAAAUCGUUCUAGCUUUCGGAAAUUACCUCAACAGUAGCAAACGUGGCCCCGCAUAUGGAUUUAAAUUGCAGUCACUCGAUACGCUAAUCGACACCAAGUCAACUGACAAACGCACGUCACUGUUGCACUACAUCGUGGCAACCAUAAGGCAAAAGUUCCCUGAGCUGCUCAAUUUCGAUACAGAGCUGUAUUGCACAGACAAAGCAUCGCAGGUAUCGCUUGAAAAUAUUGUAACGGACGUACAUGACCUUGAAAAGGGCAUGGAAUUGGUGAAGAAGGAGGCAGAACAACGAGUGAAAGGUGCACAAACUCAUAUCCUGCGAGAUUUCCUCAAUAACUCCGAGGAUAAGUUGAAGAAGAUCAAAAUGGAAUUGAAGAAUGCACAGGAUGCAUUCAAAGAAUGCGUUGAGUAUUUCGGGGAAUCAUCGCGUAACGCCGAUGCAGCAGCAUUCUUCGCGCUAAUAGUGCGCUUUACGCGAGCAUUUAAGAUCCACGACCAAGAAAACGAGCAACGCCGUCGUCUGGAACAGGCAGCUGCCCAGGCUGCAAACAAAAAAGAAAGCGACCAAGUAUUACUGCGCAACAAAAUGAACCAGAAGAAACAGCAGAAACUGGGUUGCGUGACUAUGGAAAGCAGUUUACUACACAAAGCGCUUAUUAAUUCUGCGUGAAAAGACAAAGCAAAUAACUGCAGAUAUAUAAAAAUUUCAAAAUUUCGUACAGUUAAGCAAGUUAUUCGUAUUCGUUAUGUAAUAAUAAUUGUAAUGUGGCGUGUGGAGUGUUUGGCAAAAAUCUAUUGUAAAAUUAGACAAAAAGACAAGCGCUGCGCACAAUUAUACAAGCCUAAUACAACAACACAAUGACAUAUACACAAAUCAUAGCACAUAAUACAUACAUGUUCAACAUAUGUACAUACAUAUAAUUCAAGCAUAUACCAUGUAUUCGAGAAAAAGAAAAUACAUACAAAAAUUACGUGUAGUUCACAUCAUUAAAAAAAACACGAAAUUACCCACAUAGAAUAAGAAGGAAGUGGUUCUAUGUUUAUUACAUUUACCUUCACCGUCACGAUAAUCACCACAAUCACAACCACCACCAUUACCAAUAACGCAUCGCUCCCACGAUUACUAAGAUCAUCACCACCACCUCAAGCAUCACCCUUCCUGGUAAGCGAUAAGUGAUAACCAUAAAGGAUGUCGGACUCGGUAACUUAGAAUAGCUAAAGAUCUGGUAUAAGACAUUUUGGUUCGCCUUCCAUCUUGUUGGCAUUUCCAACGCUCAUAAGAUGAAAAAUGAUUGCCCGGUUGUGGCUUCUCCUUACAGGACGCUGUCAUUAACGAGCUGAAGAGCAAAACGAAUUCGGUGCGGGAAAAAAAAUUGCUU